CAAGCGUAGACGCGGACAAGAGCGGCACCAUUAAGGCAUACACUAGUGGGAGCUUCUCGGUGCCUGCGUGAAGACGCCCUCUUGCCUCCGGGAAAAGUAUCGUCUGCAUCUUCUUGCUCCAGGAGCGGGGGUGGGGAGCGCAGCGCGGAGGAGGCAGCGCUGAGAUGACUCAACAGUGCGGCAUUUGGGGGCGCCGCGGAGGCUGGGACUGCGUAAGCGGCGAUAGGGUAGGACCCACAGCCUCCUCGCAGGCAUUCUUGGAGCUCGGUUCCGCGGUCGGUCCGGAUCUCCCGGGAAGUCUCGCCGGAGUCAGGCAGGCCUUAGGAAGAAGCUGCCUGAUGUGCAAGGUUUCAUAGGCCGUCAGAGGGGGCAUCCUGGAGGAGCCCUGGCAUCAGGAAAGUGAGCCCCCCAUGGCAGCCCGCAGGAAUGAACCAGUGCUCACCAGGCUGGAGUGCAGUGGUGUGAUCACAGCUUUCUGCAGCACCUACCCCCAGGCCCAAGCAAUCCUCCUAGCUCAGCCUCCCAAGUAGCUGGGAUUACAGGUGUGCAGCACCACGCCCAGCUAAUUUUUAUUUUUUAUUUUUGUAGGAAGAGAUCUCCCUGUUGUCCAGGCUGGUCAUGAACUCCCAGGGCUCAAGCAGUUCUCCAGUCUCAGCCUCCUGAAGUGCUGGGAUUAUAGGCAUGAGCCACCACGCCAGGCCCCUAACUCAUUUUAAAUGGCUGUGUAAUGUGGAUGAUGACAGCACCUACCUCAAGGGGCUGCUGUGAGGACUAAAUGGGGCAGAAAAAUUCUGCCUGACCUUUCCCAUCUUCCUGAUGAUGUUAACAAACGACAGCCACUGAGGGCACAGGAGGGGGCUCUACACAGGCCAAGAGCUACAGGCUACAGUCUGAGCACAGAAAACCCUCCAGCUCCAGCAUCCAGGGCCACAGCUGGACACAAGUACAGAACCUGGCAGCCCUGCAGCCCAGACAAUGCCCAGGGUGUGAUUUAGGGUGCAGAGCUGCAACUCAGAUCCUGUGCCAUGGCAGUAUCACAGGAAGGACUUGACGGAGAGGUGAAGGCUCCAGACGCCAGGAUAUUUAUUCCCUGUGCCAAUACAGCAUUCACACCUGACC
Molecule: long non-coding RNA, 1119 nt
Filed under: Homo sapiens (human)
Lineage: Eukaryota; Metazoa; Chordata; Mammalia; Primates; Hominidae
Description: HSALNT0054272
Source: RNAcentral